RNAcentral lists this long non-coding RNA (247 nucleotides) under Vitis vinifera (wine grape). Its description in RNAcentral is "long non-coding RNA (VVIN_LNC006611)". Lineage: Eukaryota; Viridiplantae; Streptophyta; Magnoliopsida; Vitales; Vitaceae. The record is from RNAcentral.
UUGAUUAGACUCCUUUGAUAGGUAGUACAACUUUUUGAAGAAAUAUGGCACUAGUCAAAAGCCAAAUGGCUUUUUUCCUCCAUAUAUAUAUAUAUAUAUAAUAGUAUCUAUUUUGAAUAGUUUAUUGCACUUAUUGGUAUAGUUGUCGACAAAAAACUUGUUAUGAGCCUGAAUAACAUAUACCAACAACCAAGAUGGUUCUUGAAAAGCAUGAUUAACUAGUCCAUAAACCUCUUAGAGACUAAGG